ACUCCUACGGGAGGCAGCAGUGGGGAAUAUUGGACAAUGGGCGCAAGCCUGAUCCAGCCAUGCCGCGUGAGUGAUGAAGGCCCUAGGGUUGUAAAGCUCUUUCACCGGUGAAGAUAAUGACGGUAACCGGAGAAGAAGCCCCGGCUAACUUCGUGCCAGCAGCCGCGGUAAUACGAAGGGGGCUAGCGUUGUUCGGAUUUACUGGGCGUAAAGCGCACGUAGGCGGACUAUUAAGUCAGGGGUGAAAUCCCGGGGCUCAACCCCGGAACUGCCUUUGAUACUGGUAGUCUUGAGUUCGAGAGAGGUGAGUGGAAUUCCGAGUGUAGAGGUGAAAUUCGUAGAUAUUCGGAGGAACACCAGUGGCGAAGGCGGCUCACUGGCUCGAUACUGACGCUGAGGUGCGAAAGCGUGGGGAGCAAACAGGAUUAGAUACCCCAGUAGUCCCAU
This 447-nucleotide ribosomal RNA is filed under the name uncultured organism. Its description in RNAcentral is "partial 16S ribosomal RNA". It matches the Rfam family "Bacterial small subunit ribosomal RNA", at positions 335 to 798 of the family's 1533-position model. The record is from RNAcentral.